This is a long non-coding RNA of Wyeomyia smithii (pitcher-plant mosquito), 1452 nucleotides long. RefSeq lists it as uncharacterized. Lineage: Eukaryota; Metazoa; Arthropoda; Insecta; Diptera; Culicidae. The transcript has 2 exons. The record is from RefSeq and is a predicted model, not a curated record.
UUGAAUUGCGCUUCAUUUAAAAAAAUUGUAUUUACUCUAUGAGUCCGGUAACAUGGAAUCGGUAAAAUGUAGUGUCAAAUGGAAUCAAAAAACUAAACCACGCUGCGAAUUGUUUCAUUUUCCACCAAUUGCUUCGGCUAGUUUUGAAUUUUGACAACGACAUUUUCGACUGUGCCUGGCCUGAGAAGCUUCUUCCUCUUGGACGAACAUGUUAUUUCCUGAAAAAGUCGGUAUACAAUUUGGUUCGCAUGAAACAAACACAUAUUCAACUUGUUCCCCCUUUACGAGGUUUUUGUGUCGAAAGAGCUUGUUUCCAUCUCUUUCAUCCGCAUAUUGCUUACCUACUGAGAGUGUUGCCAAGCCUAUAUUGAAAACAAAAAUCAAAAAAUGGAACAGCUAAUAAAUGAGUAGUUUGAUGUGUAUUAGAAUUUUUGGCGGAAAUUUUCGCAAAAUUGUUAAUAAUUGCCAAACUGUAUUUAAACUAAUAAACGAAUCAAUGCCUAUGGAAGCCCGGGUUAUCGCCGUGUUCUGUUGCUCUUCGGCCCUCCCCUUUGCUGGAAAAUAUUCUCUUCUUUUAUGAUGGUUAUUUCCGUUCUCUUUCCUUUUAUCUUUGCUAGAAUAUUAUUUGCAUUAGUCGGUUAAAGAACUGAAAAGAACCAUAAAAAUCUCACUCGAACCAGAUGGUAACUAAAUUAUUUGAUCGUAAUGUGUGUAAAAGAAUUACUUUUGUCACUAUUUCUUACCUGCAAUCGGAGGGUAGACCGGCGUUUCCUGUUGUAUUUUGUUUCUUUCUUUCCUACCCGGGCCUGGACAGCUGGCAAGAGUCUGAGAGAAUGUCUACCGGCUUGGUGAGGAGAGUGAGCAUUAUAUAAGCACACGUAAGCACCGUCAAUUCUCACAUUCCAUCGAAGCGUCUACUCGGAUCGUCAUAUCUCGUGAUCACGGUGUGUUAUAAAUCAGUGAAGUGAAGAAGAUAUUGAUUUUUCUCCCCAGUCUGGAGCUGAUCUCUUGAAUUUUAUUAAAAACUAACACAAGACCACCGCAAAGCCAUGCAGCUGACCGAGGCAAAAGUCCUGCUCCAUCGCACCGACCCCAUUUGUUGCCCUAAACUGACGCUUCAGGCGUACUGUUUCUGGCAACAAAUUUAAUAGAAAUUACAGUGGUUGGUAUCUUUGCGAUGUGAAAAGGUGGACGCGCCCAAACACUCAAUGUCGACGCUCGGAAGUAUGGCGCACGUUCUACGGUCAAACGCAUUUUCCUCUGCUAAGGUGGGUCGUCGAAGGAGAUCGAAGCGAAAUCUUCGGUGGAGCUCGGCCGCCUGCCGCACCUUUUUGCUGCCGGGGUAAAUUACUCCGCCAGUGGAACUAGUUCGUAAGGACAGCUGACAUGACGAGACGAGUAAAAUAAGAUGAUUUUAUAAAUGUGUGUGACAAUAAAACAAUUCAAAAGUGA